Molecule: non-coding RNA, 263 nt
Organism: Jatropha curcas
Lineage: Eukaryota; Viridiplantae; Streptophyta; Magnoliopsida; Malpighiales; Euphorbiaceae
Source: RefSeq, a predicted model, not a curated record
GCGGAGCCGGUGACUACUUUUAUGUUGGCAACAACCCUUAUACCAAUAUAUCUGCUUUCUUUCUUGUGUGUGUGAGUGGCUGUCUGGCGACUGGCGAGGCUAUGAUGAUAUAUUCUUUGAGCUUGAAAAGUUGGACUCGAGGUGAAAUACUCAAUUUCUUGGCAAGGCAACCUUUUGUUGUUGCAGCGCCGAUGUUGUGGUGUUUCUGUCCUGUCCAAUUGGAAGGCAUAUCUGAUCUGAGCCAUCUCUUUCUCCAGAUUUCU